Molecule: transfer RNA, 173 nt
Filed under: halophilic archaeon J07HX5
Lineage: Archaea; Methanobacteriati; Methanobacteriota; Halobacteria; Halobacteriales
Description: tRNA-Trp
Rfam family: tRNA
About the family: Transfer RNA (tRNA) molecules are approximately 80 nucleotides in length. Their secondary structure includes four short double-helical elements and three loops (D, anti-codon, and T loops).
Source: RNAcentral
GGGCUCGUGGCCUAGUCUGGCAAGGCGGCUGACUCCAGAGGCCCGUGCCUGGGACGAGACUCCAGCUGAUAUACUGAGCGGUCGGCUGAUCACCGCCGCACUGAUGACCCUCUGGAGUUCCGAGGCACACCGGAGAUAUCAGCCAAUCGGGGGUUCAAAUCCCUCCGAGCCCA